Loxodonta africana (African savanna elephant) is the source of this 2759-nucleotide long non-coding RNA. RefSeq lists it as uncharacterized. Lineage: Eukaryota; Metazoa; Chordata; Mammalia; Proboscidea; Elephantidae. The record is from RefSeq and is a predicted model, not a curated record. The transcript has 2 exons.
ACCAUAAUAGCCCUUACUCCACUUGUCUGGAAUCCACAAAGGUAGUUCUGCAAGUUGUUGGGUAUUCCAAUUCCAAUUAUGUGUUUAGGAACUGGGGAAAUCACUACGUGAUGGAUUCAGGGACCCACUGAAUCCACUGUGAAAUGAACCAGAGCUAUGGCUCCAUUAAGAACCUGACUUCCGUACAACCGCUUUCUGACCGGUGGGCCACAGUGACAUCUAGGGUCUCCUGGAUUCAGUGUCAGUUCAGAGGCAGUAUCCAGUAAUUCUUACGCUUGUACAGAUCAAGUAACUACUCGAUAGACUUCCCAUCUAUUUCACUCCUAGGGACACCAUGACUAAGUAGCCAAUGCCAUGAGUCCAUAGGAGUCAGGCUACUCUCAUUACUGCUUUGACUCCACUGUCCAUUAUGUGAACCACACCUACCUUGUUCUUGUCCAUUGAGUCACCCGCAUGGCCCCUAACACCGUGGGGUCCAAUCAGCCCCAUUGUAGUUUGGUGUCUUAAUUCAGUUAGGGCAUCUCCCAUUGUGAGAUCUGACUUCCAUAAAAUAACAAUCACAGCAGUCUUCAAGGAUGCUGGGGCUCCCUUCACAAAUUUAUUCCUCACCAUUGCGGUAAAAGGUGUGUCCUCUGAGCAUUCCAUGUGUGGGUCUGUGGGUCUAAGCCGAGAAAUCCACUCUAACAUGCCAGUUUCCCUAAGCCUUUGGAUACCUUCUUCUACUGUGAAAUCAAGGCGGGUCUGGCACUUCAGCUGGGUUUAGUGUGGGCCACCGCUUAAUCUGUGCUUCACUGAAUCAGUCACAUAAACUAUUAAAUCCUUUCCUAAGCUCUCUAGCUGAAACACUGGAUGAAGGAUCUGUGCUUAGUGGACCCAUAUCAAUGAACUCAGGCUGAGGCAACUUUAUGUUCCUUGCACCAUUAUCCCACACCCAUAAUAGCAAUUCCCACACGUAGUCUCCAGGCUUUUGUUUGUAUGUAUUAGAAAAGUCAAGCAGUUCUUUUUCUUUUGGAGUGUAGUGUACCUCCCCCUGGAUCACAUUUUGUGCUUUACCUUUGAGGAUAGCAGGGACUUCAGUCUAGUUAUAGGCCUAGAAGCAACAAUGGGUGUUGGGAAUGUGUCUGGAGAACAUUCAGCAAUGUCUUGUAAGACAUCUGCCUUAAGGGAUGAUGCCCCAGGCAGUGACUCAGACAUCACCCUAGUGGACGACUGAGACAAAGGCUCUUCAGACACAACUGGGUUAAUCUCAGCAGAUGGGGGUCUGAGGGGCUAACAGUUUUCCUGGGGAGGGUGGUUUAGCAGCCAAACAUGGAGUAAUCCCUUCAGGCGGGAGCUGCUAUUUGGUGAUGGCCUUGCUAUUCCUCAAUGAAACUCAUUUUCUUUCACUCCUAAUAGAGUGUGGGAUUUUGUUCUUCAACAACACAAACAAACAGAAAACAUGACCAGAGCCUUUGCAGCAGCAAAUUAGCUAGGAGAAGAUUAUAAUGUAAUGCUUUCAAGUUCUGAUUUAAAGUAGAAUUCUAACCCAGACAAAAUGUGAGGGCAAUCAAGGCAUUUCCAGACAAGUAAGUAAGAACUUAAACAUCUACUUGCAAGGCAUGCACCUUGAGGAAACUGUUGGAGAAAGGAAAUCAGCACAAAGGACUGAUGAGAAAAAAAAAAAAAAAAAAAGACUGUUUAGGCAUAGAAAAUAAAAACAGGCAUCUGAUCUGUCUGUAAAGAGACUAAAGUAACUCUAAGCGCUCAAUGUAGUCUUUCACCUUAGGUUUGGCGUUGGCUGUCUAGCAGCUCCAGGUAAGCUUUCCCCCAGGUUCUACCCUCCUUCCCUAGGAAUCAACCCAUCACCAUGAAGGAAAUGAGUUGCUUUGCGGAUCAAGCUAAAGAAUGUGAAGACUUAAGGCAAACUUUUGGUAUCAGCCUCCUCAGGUUUCUGACAUGCCCAGCAAAGUGAGAGAUCAUGGAAACUCCUUGUUUCCAUUCUCAUCUGGAGAGCUAACAUUCUGAGCAACGUGAUUGUUAACCAACCAGUCUUGAGAAUAUCCGUCCUGUGGCUGCUUUGUAACCAAGGUGAAACCCCCUUGACCUCCUGUCUUUCAAUUGUGUCUUGUAGCCAGUCAAUCGGCUCACGUAAGCAAUAAUGACAACGAUUGUGCUUUACUUGUCGCGUCUUUGAUUGACCUUCGUCACUGUGAACCAACAAGAAAAACUGUAAUUUUAUUCUCCCCCUUCAGCACUCUGAUUACUCCUGAUUUGCCUUCUUCCCGUGAGAUUCCGGAACGUCAGCCUGAGACUUUGCGAUCUCCCACUGCCACGUCUCCGCUGCAAUAAAUCUCUUUCGAUUUUACCUUAAGGGAGCUGGGAAGUCUUUUCUCUCCAACAUUUUGGCGUAGUUAAUCGGCAGGGUUUUUGGAGUUACCCUUCCCCCGGAGACCCGAAGACCUGAAACACGGGAUUCCGGCACCAAGGGCCCCUUUGUGUGCCCCUCGCUGCAGCUUUUUCGGACCCUUCUGGCUGUCUGGGGGGAGAAGGGAGCAGAGAGACUGGAGGACUUCAUUACCACCAAGCAGAAGAGCCAGGAGCAUUUGCUUUGAACCAGGGGCCCCUGCACUGAGAAGCUGCUAGAUCUGGGGAAGACUGAUGACAAGGACCUUCUCCCAGAGCCAACAGAGAGAGAAAGACUUUCCUAGGAGCUGACGCCCUGAAUUCAGACUUCUAGUCUCCUAGACUGUGAGAGAAUAAAUUACUCUUUGUAAAAGCCA